UCCCUGGUGGUCUAGUGGUUAGGACUUGGCACUUUCACCGCUGCCACUCAGGUUCAAUCCUUGGUCUGGGAC
RNAcentral lists this transfer RNA (72 nucleotides) under Sus scrofa (pig). It matches the Rfam family "tRNA". From Rfam's summary of the family: Transfer RNA (tRNA) molecules are approximately 80 nucleotides in length. Their secondary structure includes four short double-helical elements and three loops (D, anti-codon, and T loops). Further hydrogen bonds mediate the characteristic L-shaped molecular structure. tRNAs have two regions of fundamental functional importance: the anti-codon, which is responsible for specific mRNA codon recognition, and the 3' end, to which the tRNAs corresponding amino acid is attached (by aminoacyl-tRNA synthetases). tRNAs cope with the degeneracy of the genetic code in two manners: having more than one tRNA (with a specific anti-codon) for a particular amino acid; and 'wobble' base-pairing, i.e. permitting non-standard base-pairing at the 3rd anti-codon position. Lineage: Eukaryota; Metazoa; Chordata; Mammalia; Artiodactyla; Suidae. The record is from Rfam by way of RNAcentral.